AAAGCAGCAGAGUAAGUCCAAGGUAGGCUGGGUCGCUGUAAAGUGGCCUAACUUCUACCGAAGGGUAGAUAAAUCGGCCUCUUGGGGUCUGCUGCUUU
This 98-nucleotide non-coding RNA is filed under the name unclassified sequences. The record is from Rfam.